UACGGAGGGUGCAAGCGUUAUCCGGAUUCACUGGGUUUAAAGGGUGCGUAGGUGGCUUUGUAAGUCAGUGGUGAAAGCCUAGAGCUCAACUCUAGAACUGCCAUUGAUACUGCUUAGCUUGAAUCAGGUCGAGGUGGAUGGAAUAUGACAUGUAGCGGUGAAAUGCUUAGAUAUGUUAUAGAACACCGAUUGCGAAGGCAGUUCACUAGACCUGUAUUGACACUGAGGCACGAAAGCGUGGGGAUCAAACAGG
Molecule: ribosomal RNA, 253 nt
Filed under: uncultured bacterium
Lineage: Bacteria
Description: partial 16S ribosomal RNA
Rfam family: Bacterial small subunit ribosomal RNA
Source: RNAcentral